Non-coding RNA from Chelonoidis abingdonii (Abingdon island giant tortoise), 180 nucleotides. The record is from RefSeq and is a predicted model, not a curated record. NCBI's taxonomy places the organism in Eukaryota, Metazoa, Chordata, Testudines, Testudinidae.
UUUGGCACUUUACAGCGGUGUUGGUAGUCAGCAGGACUUAAUAGGGGCCUUUUCAGCGUGGAACCAAAGCAGUUUUUCGAUGGUGGACCUUUACAUAGAUCCAGUCUCCUGAUUCCAAGGAGUGGCAGGGCUGCUAGGGUCUUUGGGUAGCACUUCUUUACCUGAUGUUGCCAGGACCAG